Molecule: ribosomal RNA, 423 nt
Filed under: uncultured bacterium
Lineage: Bacteria
Description: bacterial SSU rRNA
Rfam family: Bacterial small subunit ribosomal RNA
Source: RNAcentral
ACUCCUACGGGAGGCAGCAGUGGGGAAUAUUGCGCAAUGGACGAAAGUCUGACGCAGCGACGCCGCGUGGAGGAUGAAGGUUUUCGGAUCGUAAACUCCUGUCAAGAGGGAAGAAACCUAUCAUGAAUAAUACUUAUGGUAAUUGACGGUACCUCUAGAGGAAGCACCGGCUAAUUCAGUGCCAGCAGCCGCGGUAAUACUGAAGGUGCAAGCGUUAAUCGGAAUCACUGGGCGUAAAGCGCUCGUAGGUGGCUUUGUAAGUCAGGUGUGAAAGCCCACGGCUCAACCGUGGAAUUGCACUUGAUACUGCAUCGCUAGAGUAUAGGAGAGGGAAGUGGAAUUUCUGGUGUAGGAGUGAAAUCCGUAGAGAUCAGAAGGAACACCCGUGGCGAAGGCGACUUCCUGGACUAUUACUGACACUGA